Molecule: long non-coding RNA, 330 nt
Filed under: Lathyrus oleraceus (garden pea)
Lineage: Eukaryota; Viridiplantae; Streptophyta; Magnoliopsida; Fabales; Fabaceae
Description: Pisum sativum (pea) long non-coding RNA (PSAT_LNC004054)
Source: RNAcentral
UCAAAUUAAUCAGUGGUCAUUAUUAGUAAUCCACACUUAUCUCAUUUAUCCAAUCAAAAUUGAGAUUUAAUUAAUAUUAUUAUUAAAGAAAAUCUGAAAAUAAAUAAAAUAAAAAUAUAUAUAUCUCUCUUGAAUGGACAGACUCCAACUUUAAUAAAAAAAAAGGAUCUUAUCUUAGUAAAAUUGAGAUUUAAUUAAUAUUAUUAUUAAAGAAAAUCUGAAAAUAAAUAAAAUAAAAAUAUAUAUAUCUCUCUUGAAUGGACAGACUCCAACUUUAAUAAAAAAAAAGGAUCUUAUCUUAGUAAAAAAAAAAAAAAAUUACACCAAAGA